AGUACUUUAGUUUUAAUUAUAAAAACAUAACUUUGUGGAAGUUGAGAUCUCCUAGAGAAGUACUA
This 65-nucleotide transfer RNA is filed under the name Salpa thompsoni. RNAcentral's name for it is "tRNA-His". Lineage: Eukaryota; Metazoa; Chordata; Thaliacea; Salpida; Salpidae. The record is from RNAcentral.